UUAGUACUCCCUCCGAUCCAUAUUACUUGUCACUCGAACGGAUGUAUCUAGACGUAUUUCAAUGCUAGAUACAUCCGUUUGAGCGACAAGUAAUAUGGAUCAUAGGGAGUAUAAA
This is a non-coding RNA of Triticum aestivum (bread wheat), 115 nucleotides long. The record is from Rfam. Lineage: Eukaryota; Viridiplantae; Streptophyta; Magnoliopsida; Poales; Poaceae.